This 253-nucleotide ribosomal RNA is filed under the name uncultured bacterium. RNAcentral describes it as "partial 16S ribosomal RNA". It matches the Rfam family "Bacterial small subunit ribosomal RNA", at positions 524 to 776 of the family's 1533-position model. The record is from RNAcentral.
UACGGAGGGUGCAAGCGUUAUCCGGAUUCACUGGGUUUAAAGGGCGCGUAGGCGGUUCGUCAAGUCCUGUGUGAAAUCCCCCGGCUCAACUGGGGAACUGCACAGGAAACUAGCGGGCUUGAGUUCGGGAGAGGGAAGCGGAAUUCCGGGUGUAGCGGUGAAAUGCGUAGAUAUCCGGAGGAACACCGGUGGCGAAGGCGGCUUCCUGGACCGACACUGACGCUGAGGCGCGAAAGCUAGGGGAGCAAACGGG